RNAcentral lists this long non-coding RNA (725 nucleotides) under Citrus x clementina. RNAcentral's name for it is "Citrus clementina (C. clementina) long non-coding RNA (CCLE_LNC001733)". Lineage: Eukaryota; Viridiplantae; Streptophyta; Magnoliopsida; Sapindales; Rutaceae. The record is from RNAcentral.
UUUUUUAAAAAAAUUUUUGGUUCAUUUGGGUGCAGAAUCAUUAUUAUUAUCUUUUUAAAAUAGAGUAGAGUGCAUGAUGAACUAAAAAAAAAAAUUUACCUCUAUUAUGAUGAGCUUAAAUUUUAAACUUUUGUAGAUAAAUGUUAUACCAUAAAGGAGGUGUUAUCAAUUCACACCAUGUGUGCUUAAUCUCAUAUUGUUUAAUGAGGAAAAUAUACAAUUUUUUAAAAGAAAGUUUUAAUACACUUAAUACAAUACAUUUCAAUCUAAUAUACAAUAUGUUCAAUUAUAGUAAAAUAGUUUGAUUUAAGCUUCAAGCACGCAUUCUUCACCUUCACGAAUCCAUACAUGUAAAUGCUCUUCGCCCAAAACUCAUCCAUUUAAUUAAGAGAAGCUAAAGACUUGUAAGAAUCUCUCUUCCCUUUUGAUCAGGAGUUCUCAUGAGGAUAAUCCAUCCAUAGAUACGUUAGGAAUGGCAAAAAUUUUCAUGACGACGAGGGCUCCAUAGAUUUUUUCCAUUGUGAUAGGGUAAAUGACAAAAAUUUCCAUGAGGAUGAGGGCUCCAUAGAUUUUCCCCAUUAGGAUAGGGUACAAUGAUAAUUUUAUAUAUACUCAUUUUUUUUAGGGAGAGAUAAGGACAAUUUAAUAUCCAAAAUCUUAUUAAGAUGGAAUGAGGAUUUGGUGAGAUCCUCAUUCACUCCCCCAUUUCCCUAUUUUAAUUUUUA